RNAcentral lists this ribosomal RNA (442 nucleotides) under uncultured bacterium. Its description in RNAcentral is "partial 16S ribosomal RNA". It matches the Rfam family "Bacterial small subunit ribosomal RNA", at positions 338 to 795 of the family's 1533-position model. The record is from RNAcentral.
UCUACGGGUGGCAGCAGUGAGGAAUAUUGGUCAAUGGGCUUACGCCUGAACCAGCAACGCCGCGUGAAGGAAGAAGGCUUUCGGGUUGUAAACUUCUUUUGUCAGGGAAGAGUAGAAGACGGUACCUGACGAAUAAGCCACGGCUAACUACGUGCCAGCAGCCGCGGUAAUACGUAGGUGGCAAGCGUUGUCCGGAUUUACUGGGUGUAAAGGGCGUGUAGCCGGGUUGACAAGUCAGAUGUGAAAUCCUGCGGCUUAACCGCAGAACUGCAUUUGAAACUGUUGAUCUUGAGUACUGGAGAGGCAGACGGAAUUCCUAGUGUAGCGGUGAAAUGCGUAGAUAUUAGGAGGAACACCAGUGGCGAAGGCGGUCUGCUGGACAGCAACUGACGGUGAGGCGCGAAAGCGUGGGGAGCAAACAGGAUUAGAUACCCGGGUAGUC